AUGAGUAUUCUUCAACUGUUUGCAGCAAGUUUAAAGUUUUCGGAACUCAUGUUCUCGUAGGCCAUCUCAUAUGCUCUGGAUUAGACAUCAUCUGUAUUUGGAUCCGAGCCAAUUCAGCAGGUGACAUACCACUCACAUGCUCUGAGAGGUGAACAUUAUCAGAUUCGAAUCUGAGCAAUCCCAGCACGUAAAAACCGAAACUUGAGACAAUUCUCGAUGAUGGGAAAAGAGAACACAAAUGUAGGUUUGUUCCUUGCCUUCAUAGCACUGUCAUUGAAACGCCGCAGUAGAACCCUAGCCUGGUUCGCAUCAGCUCAACAUUCUCAACCACCUGGGUUUUAAUUUCUUUCUUUGGAACAAGACUGGGCGGUGCUCUUUGUGGAGAAGGCUCUGAAUACAUAAGAGUGUAAUGCUGAUCCCAAAGUAUAUGGUUUGUUUGACGAAGAGAGAAAACAGUGUCUUUGAAAACAAUAGGAAGUUGUGUAAAAGAAAUGGAGAUUUUUUAGGUUCAUAUAACCUAAAGCCCAGAAACAGAGAUUUUUUAUUUCAUUUUUUAUUAUAGAAUUUCUCUGUCUUUUUUUUUUCAGUUCACUGUUUAUGACAUCAUUUCAACGAAUUCAUAACUAUAUGUAAAAAUGUAAACUAUCCUUUUUUUGUAAAUGGAAACUAUCCUUCUUUUGGUAAAA
Molecule: small RNA, 686 nt
Filed under: Vigna angularis var. angularis
Lineage: Eukaryota; Viridiplantae; Streptophyta; Magnoliopsida; Fabales; Fabaceae
Description: Non-protein coding transcript
Source: RNAcentral